This 624-nucleotide long non-coding RNA is filed under the name Trifolium pratense (red clover). RNAcentral describes it as "long non-coding RNA (TPRA_LNC010123)". Lineage: Eukaryota; Viridiplantae; Streptophyta; Magnoliopsida; Fabales; Fabaceae. The record is from RNAcentral.
AGUCACAGAUCUAAGCAAAUUCAAACAAGAUCCAACAAAUUCUCCACUCCCUAUUUGGUUGACCCCGCUCCCUAUCCAGGGAAACUCACAAGAAUUUCAGCCAACAAUAAAGAUCGUGUUGAAAGAGUUAAAACCUGUUUCUCACCACAUAAAUCAAGGAGGGAAAGUUCCCUGAUCUCCAAAAAGAAUGUAAAACAGACAGGGUAGUUAGGGAAAGCAUAAACUUAAACUUUGGGGGAAUACGUUGGAGGGCCAUGAAGAAUGGGGACCUUCUAUAAAAUUUUAUGCAUAUAGUUUUAGUCCAUGUUAUUUUUCAACCUGAUUGUAGCAUCUAAUAACACAGUUUUACAAGACUUAAUUUCUUUCUCUCUAUUUUUUUUACACAGUACACUCAGAAAUAUAAUCAUACUUACUUUACCAGAUUUGUCCAAUAUCUAUAGCUCCUAAGUUAUCAAUCUUAGAUAGCGGCGCGGCCAACCCUGAAAUUAGAGCAGAGCGGGCACCAUUUAAUGCCACGGACACUAAUACAUUAUUUUUUCUUUUAAAUGGUUAUUUAGGGGUUUUGUUUCUAACAAACCGGGCUGCGAACCCGACCCGCGAGCACAACCUCUUUGAAUCCGUCAG